Molecule: ribosomal RNA, 626 nt
Filed under: Mycobacterium sp. Se1Ps_2200
Lineage: Bacteria; Bacillati; Actinomycetota; Actinomycetes; Mycobacteriales; Mycobacteriaceae
Description: bacterial SSU rRNA
Rfam family: Bacterial small subunit ribosomal RNA
Source: RNAcentral
CGACGCCGCGUGAGGGAUGACGGCCUUCGGGUUGUAAACCUCUUUCAGCAGGGACGAAGCGCAAGUGACGGUACCUGUAGAAGAAGGACCGGCCAACUACGUGCCAGCAGCCGCGGUAAUACGUAGGGUCCGAGCGUUGUCCGGAAUUACUGGGCGUAAAGAGCUCGUAGGUGGUUUGUCGCGUUGUUCGUGAAAACUCACAGCUUAACUGUGGGCGUGCGGGCGAUACGGGCAGACUGGAGUACUGCAGGGGAGACUGGAAUUCCUGGUGUAGCGGUGGAAUGCGCAGAUAUCAAGAGGAACACCGGUGGCGAAGGCGGGUCUCUGGGCAGUAACUGACGCUGAGGAGCGAAAGCGUGGGGAGCGAACAGGAUUAGAUACCCUGGUAGUCCACGCCGUAAACGGUGGGUACUAGGUGUGGGUUUCCUUCCUUGGGAUCCGUGCCGUAGCUAACGCAUUAAGUACCCCGCCUGGGGAGUACGGCCGCAAGGCUAAAACUCAAAGAAAUUGACGGGGGCCCGCACAAGCGGCGGAGCAUGUGGAUUAAUUCGAUGCAACGCGAAGAACCUUACCUGGGUUUGACAUGCACAGGACGUGCCUAGAGAUAGGUAUUCCCUUGUGGCCUG